Molecule: ribosomal RNA, 1305 nt
Filed under: metagenome
Description: bacterial LSU rRNA
Rfam family: Bacterial large subunit ribosomal RNA
Source: RNAcentral
ACACGGCCCGUACCCCAAACCAACACAGGUGGUCAGGUAGAGAAUACCAAGGCGUACGAGAUAACUAUGGUUAAGGAACUCGGCAAAAUACCCCCGUAACUUCGGGAGAAGGGGGACCUCGACUGGUGACCGGACUUGCUCCGUGAGCUGGCUGGGGUCGCAGAGACCAGUGAGAAGCGACUGUUACUAAAAACACAGGUCCGUGCGAAGUCGCAAGACGAUGUAUACGGACUGACGCCUGCCCGGUGCUGGAAGGUUAAGAGGACCCGUUAACCCUUGGGUGAAGCGGAGAAUUUAAGCCCCAGUAAACGGCGGUGGUAACUAUAACCAUCCUAAGGUAGCGAAAUUCCUUGUCGGGUAAGUUCCGACCUGCACGAAUGGCGUAACGACUUCUCAACUGUCUCAACCAUAGACUCGGCGAAAUUGCACUACGAGUAAAGAUGCUCGUUACGCGCGGCAGGACGAAAAGACCCCGGGACCUUCACUAUAGCUUGGUAUUGGCGUUUGGUUCGGUUUGUGUAGGAUAGGUGGGAGACUGUGAAGCAGGCACGCCAGUGUUUGUGGAGUCAUCGUUGAAAUACCACUCUGAUCGUAUUGAACCUCUAACCUCGGACCGUAUAUCCGGUCCAGGGACAGUGCCUGGUGGGUAGUUUAACUGGGGCGGUUGCCUCCCAAAAUGUAACGGAGGCGCCCAAAGGUUCCCUCAACCUGGACGGCAAUCAGGUGUUGAGUGCAAGUGCACAAGGGAGCUUGACUGCAAGACUGACACGUCAAGCAGGGACGAAAGUCGGGACUAGUGAUCCGGCACCUCUGAGUGGAAGGGGUGUCGCUCAACGGAUAAAAGGUACCCCGGGGAUAACAGGCUGAUCUUCCCCAAGAGUCCAUAUCGACGGGAUGGUUUGGCACCUCGAUGUCGGCUCGUCGCAUCCUGGGGCUGGAGCAGGUCCCAAGGGUUGGGCUGUUCGCCCAUUAAAGCGGCACGCGAGCUGGGUUUAGAACGUCGUGAGACAGUUCGGUCUCUAUCCGCCGCGCGCGUCAGAAGCUUGAGGAAAGCUGUCCCUAGUACGAGAGGACCGGGACGGACGAACCUCUGGUAUACCAGUUGUUUCGCCAGAAGCACUGCUGGAUAGCUACGUUCGGACAGGAUAACCGCUGAAAGCAUCUAAGCGGGAAACCUUCUCCAAGACCAGGCUUCUCACCCUUUUAGAGGGAUAAGGCCCCCCACAGACGAUGGGUUCAAUAGGCCAGGCCUGUAAGCGCAGUAAUGCGUUCAGGGAACUGGCACUAAUCGGCCGAAAACUUACU